AGUAACACUAUACACACCAAACUUGGUGUACAUGUUGAAAAAACAUUGAGGAACUUAAAUUGUGAAUGGGUUUUGGAUAGCUUGGAUGGUUUUGUCGUGGUGAUUUUUUUAAAUGACAAUAAAGAUGGAACUAUUAAUUUUCCUGCAUUUUUAAAUUCCAAACACUUCAAAACCUUUUUUCAUACAGAAAAAAAGUUAUUCUGAGUAAAUAUGCAUAGUUUCAUGACUUUACAACACUGUAUGGAUAACAGAAAAUUAAAAAACUGUCAGACAUCUCAUCUCACUCUGUCCCUCUGUUUGAGUAUUAUGUGCUGAGACUUACAUUGUCUGAGAGAAAAUGCGCCCCUACAGGUUCAAUUCCUGAAAGGGAAAUUCGACUGAAAGGGAGGAGACUCUCUUUUAGUUUCAUUUUUAAAUCGGUUAAAAUACAAAUAAAUACUUAGAUUUAAUUCACACUGACAAGCUAAACCAACAUAUAUGAUUAUUACCGGUUCAGGGCUCAUGGAUAAAUUAUUUCUGGCCAGAGAUACGUGAGAAAUAGGAGAGAUGAAUCACCGCUGUGACCACGAGCGUCUGGAGUAAAGAGCUCAGAAAAAACUAAUUUAUUCCUGUUUUAAAGCUUUUAAAAAUAAAGUAUUGCAGCGAUAUCACACAAUUCACCAAUUAGAGCACACCAAGAGCUAAAUUAAGAUGUUUUUGAACUGUUUGUGUGAAAAUGAUAUAUUCGCGGCUGCCUAUAUCUGAAAUCACUGCCUCUGAUCAGCGCGUACAGUGUCACAAGUUCAAAACUAACGAAUUUAUUCUUGUUUAAGAGCUUUUUAAAAUAAAUUAUUGCCAUAAAUGCACACAAUACAUCCAUUAUAACACAACACGAGCUAAAUGCAGGUGUUUGUGACCCGUUUAAGUGUGCAAGACUAUUUGAAAGCGCGACUGGCAGAAUAACAUAUAUCUCUCGAGCUGCAGGAUUCUGCCUUUCGUCGUAAGAACGAACACAUCAAGGACAAGAUUAUUUCAAAAUACAUAAUAGCUUGGCGAAUAUAAACGAAAACAGCCACGUGAACAUAAACUGUUGAGAAAUAAAUCUGAAGUGGAUCUACUGGAUUUUAAUAUUAAGUGACCGCAUAUACCAGCUGCUUCUGUCUUCACUUUUAAUCUAUAUAAAAAAUUAAACUCAUUCAUCUUGGCUGCUUUUUUAAUGUGUGUACGUAUUUAUUUAUUAUUUUGCUCUAACAAGACUUAAUCUAUAUUUAAUUAAAUCAAUUACAUUUGAUUUUACAUUUGAUUUUUCCAUUUCUGCAUCUAAACGCCUAAAAACCUAAAACAUGCUCUAUUAUACUAUUGUUAGCAAUUUCUUUAUCGUCCAAUUUAUCUGGUGUACACGCUUUUAUUUUCAUAAUAAACUCGUUUGUUAGAUUAUACACAGUUAUAGUGGUCUAUAAUAAAUAUUGACAGGUUUUAUUCAAGCUGUUUAGAAUGAUUGCCGUAGGCAAAUUUUUAAAAAUGUAAAUCCCAAAAAAAAAAAAAAAUUGUAAAUAAAUAAAAAACAUUGGAAAAGAAUAACUUGUACUUUUUUAUACAUUUUGUAUAGUUUCAUAGUUUAUGCAUUAUAGUUAUGAAAACAAACAAAUUUAGCCACUCACAUAGAAAUCUUAGGCCUUAUCCUUUUCUGACAGUUUUAGGGAUUUUUAAAAAUCCUAAAAAACCUUAUUGGUGCUGCAAAUAAUAAUUUCAAACUAAUUUGAUACUGACCUCUGACAUCCUGUGACAUGAUAUUUAUUUGAAUUUACAUAAUCUCAUGGAUGUAACAGUAAAUCUGUUCAGCUCACAGAUCAAGACUAAGCUGUAAUGCAAGCAGAACUUUCACAAAUGCUUGUAGGUCAAUAAAAUCAUUACAAAACACUUACAAAUCAUUUAAGGGAUUUGAUAACACUGUAAAAUAAUGUCUAAUUUGUUAACAUUAGCAAAUGCAUUGAUAACACUUUAUAAUAACUGCACUCAUUAGUAAAUAGUCAGUUCAUGCUUCAUAAAGCCUUGUCCCAAUAUUAAUAGUCAGUAGUAAGCAGUUUAUAAAUACAGCUAUAAAUAGCUCAUUUAUUAAAAAGGAGAGUAAAGGGUCAGUUAUCUUCCUAUGAAAAAUAAAAAAAAUAAAAAUAAACAAACAACAACACUGAUUGAUACAGAACUCAGAAAUGUUAUUGUGGAUUUAUGAUAAACUCAGCCUGUAAAUGAAUUCAUUCUCCUCCAAGAAGACACAAGUAGUUCACACCAAACUUUUUUAACAUGAAGCCAUAUACUGAAGAUGUUAAAUUGCGAAUGGGUUUAGGAUACCUUAAAUGGUGUGGCCAUAGAGAUUUAUUAAAGUAACAUAAAAAAAUACCAUAGUUAUUUUACUAUAUCUUUAAAAUUUUUAAUUCCAACUCUUCAUAAUUUUUUAUAUACGUAGAAGUCAUCAUUUGAAGGAAGCACAGUAAGUUUCAUAGCUUUAUCAUUUUCAAGAGCCAGCAUAAAAUUAAAACUAUCAUAACAUAUAAAUCAAGCUUGCAAUUCUUAGUACCAAUAAUGGCCACCAGAUGGAGCUAUAGGAUCACUUUUAAAUAAUUAUUGUAGAAACAAGUAUGAUUUAAAUCAUUUAUAGAAAUCUUUCAAAGAAAAAUAAUAUGAAUUUUAUGUAUUUUACUGAUAAAAUGACCCUCACUUUAUUAGAAUAACAAGCUGAAAUAUUGUGAACUGUAUUUUAAGAAUAAUUCUUUAUAGGCUUUAUGGACAGAUAAGUUUUGAGUGACUCUUGAAGGAUCAGCACCACAUCCUCUUUUACCACUGUUUAAAGAAUGUAUCUUACAGAACAGGUGCGAAUUAAUUUUGGAUAGCUUGAAUGGUUUUGUCAUGGUGAUUUUUUGAAAUAACAGUAAAAAAGGAACCAGUAAAUGUCUUUUAUUUUUUUAAGUGCAGCUUCUAAACACUUCAACAAAAUGUACACAUAGAAGACAAGUCAUGCUGAGGAAAUAUGCAUAGUUUCAUGACUAUACAACACUAUAUGGAUGAUAGAAAAUUAAAAAACUACCAUACAUCUGAUGUCACUCUGUCCCUCUGGGUAAUGUGUGUGUGUGUGUGUGUGUGUGUGUGUUUGUGUGUUAAGUGUGUGUGUGUUAAGUGUGUGUGCUGAGUUUGUGUGAAUGUGUGGGAGAGGGGAUGGGCUUGGUGUCAGAGAGAGAGAGAGAGAGAGAGAGAGGGAGGGAGACUUAAUCAUCUCUUUAAUCACCAGCAGAAAAAAAAGCAAUUUUGUGUUGUUGUUGUUUUUUCAUCAUUACAGCUU
This is a long non-coding RNA of Carassius gibelio (silver crucian carp), 3313 nucleotides long. RefSeq lists it as uncharacterized. Lineage: Eukaryota; Metazoa; Chordata; Actinopteri; Cypriniformes; Cyprinidae. The record is from RefSeq and is a predicted model, not a curated record. The transcript is spliced from 3 exons.